ACAGGCAGACCCCGCCCUGCCCCCAAACUGGAGGAGGCGUUCUCGGCGCUGCUGUGUAAACAGCAAGAGAUUCUGCUGCGUCAUGGAAACCGGCGCCGGCAGGAUUCCGAGGCGGGGGCAGUGUUUAUCCUUGUCACACGGCAGAAGGUCAACAGACACCCGCUCCCUGGGGGCCCCGCGGCCGGCGGGCGUGAGGGCGGGGCUCGCGGUCCCGGCCGUGAUGGGGGCCUCGGGCUCCUUGCUGCGCGCUUGCAGGCCCGCCCUCGCUCAGCUCCCUAAUUCUGGCGGGCGUUGCGACCACCGCUUUGCGCUGCCGUUUUUGCUGAGGGGACAGAGGGGAGACGAUGUCCCCGGUGCACGCAUAGAGAGAGAGGCGAGACCCACCUCUGAUACCCCAGGUGAAGGGCCCGUAAGAACAGAGGGUGAUCCGUGGCUUGGAAGCCGACAGAGGGCACAACCUGGACGAGUUCUGGUCGGAAACACUUGGGAAAUGUCUCAUUUGUGUGUCUGGUUUCUCUGCCGUCAGAGUCUCGGUCAUCCUUACAAAGUCCUCGAGCCCCCGAGAUGGCGCCUCUUAUUCCUGAGUCUCCUGCACGCCCAGGCUACCACCUGGUGGAUAUUGAUGGCUAGCUUCACUUCAGGGAUGGAGAGACUGAGUCAGGGAGGGAGAGAGCGCCAGCCCUGUCUGAGCUCCCUAGGGAUAAGUAGGCAGAAAAAAGCUGAAGCUCAGCCUUGCAGUAACCGGCUAAGGUGUAUGCUUUUGUCUAGAAUAAUAAAAACCAGAAUUUUAAAGGCUAUUGCCUUACUUACCCCAGAGGGCUGAGGAAGUCUUUCUUCUUGCUUUUUAUGACUCCGGUUUUGCCUCGAGAAGUAAGUGGCACUAUAAAUCCCAAAUAGCUUCCUACCUGCUGUUCUUCCCCAGUGAGACUUGAAGUGAUUACUAGACACGGUUUCAGGCUCUGCCAAAUGAUAGGAAACUUAGAGUUUGCUUUCUGCUCAGAUUUACCAGGGGGAGAGGGUAAUUUAAACGGCAUUUCAUUAUCUCAAAAGAGGUGGCAGUAAACAUUCUGUUACCGAGAACAGACCCUUAACUAAUUUCUAUUAUUGGAAAUCUUUCUAUUGGAAUUAGAGUAAAACUUUGGAGCUCAAACGCUCUGCCUUUCCUGGUUAGACAGUCUUCUACCGAAGUGUCCCUCUGGAAGACCAGUUGCAGUGGGAAAUUGUCAUCCCUGUGAACAAUGAGCGGCGGUAGAGAAGAAAAAAUCAAGCACCUUAUCUGCCCCAGUUCUUCUGCGGCCCCACUCGGGCUUGGACCAAGGAGGGCCGUUGCCUCCUUUCCAAACGGGGAGAAACUGGUUGACAGUCUGAGAGCUGUCUUUUCAAGAGGACAACACCUGCUCCGGGGCCCACGUUGCUGAGAAGUACACGUUAAGCCAGAAUCUUACUACAGCUGUCAGAGUCACAGUGAUUGACAGCAGGGAAAUCUCAUUAUGCAUUUCCGCAGGACCAUGGCAAAGCUUUGAUUAGCAUUUAGACAUUCCCAUUUGCAGGAGCAGCAUUUUUCUUUGCUCGUAAAGAAUAUUUGUUAAUGCUCGGGCCCGGCAUCAAAUCUCUAUAAUGUGCUCAGGAUGAGGCCGGUACCACCCAAAACUAAAGAUGCGCUUUGGUUUGUUUCUCCUCACUUUCUUCUUGGCCACAUCAGCUCCACUCUUCCUUCUCAUCGACAAAGAAGAAACAGAACAGAAGUUGUUCAGCCUGCAAUUUGUUUCCAGGAUAUGACACGUAUUUGCCCUGGACCUCUGAAGAACAUUUUCAAAUUCUUACAUGUGGUAGGAAUGAAUGGUAAAACGGGUAGUUUUAAGGUAUAUAAAUCUAAAAAGUGUGAAAGCGUUAGUCGCUCAGUCAUGCAGCAUCAUGAACCAUAGCCCACCAGGCUUCUGGGUCCAUGGACUUCUCCAGGAAACAAUACUGGGGUGGGUUGCCAUUCCCUUCUUCAGGAGAGCUUUCCAACCCAGGGAUCGAACCCAGUUCUCCUGCACUGCAGGCAGAUUCCUUACCAUCUGAGCCACGAGGGAAGCACAGAUAAAUCUAAGUGCUCCCUUUAUUUGCAACCAAGCCAAAGUCACACGUACACAUUUGGUUAAAUAAGACUCAAUGAUGAUACGAAAAUUUGCAUGUGGUCAGGAGGGAUAUUUCCAGAGAAUCUUAAUGGUUAAAGUCAUAGGUGACUAAUGGUAAAAAGUGAGAUUUUUUACUUUUUUCCAAAACGACUCCUUGCAGUAUAGCAUAUGGUGUCUUUGUAUCAGAAAGACUAUGGAUCCCACUCAUUGGAAUAGGUUUUGAGAAUAGUGGUUGGGCUGGUUUUUGAACUAUCGCGUCUCUGCUCUGUGCCCACUAUCCUGUAUACUGCUUUGUGAUUCUGGGGUUGGGUUGCUAUAAUCCCCAUUUUCCCUUUUUUUUUUCCUACUCUUCUAAAAUAGCCUUGAACUGCCACAGAGAGUUUCAUUUUACUAAUACCUAUUCCAAAUUAAAAAAGGAUUUUUAAAGCCAUUAUUUGGAGCAUUUCAUUCCCAUCAAAAUUCUUCCAAAUGGGGUGCUUUAUGGAAUGAAAGGUUUAUGAAGCCUCUAGGGUCAGAGAUUGUACCCUGGUUAGACUCCUGCCAGCAGUCAGGAGUCUGCAGCAGACACAGAUGUAGUGGGUCGAUCUGAGACAGACCUGCUCAUUCUACUAACUUCACGACAGACAGAAAGUACGAAAAUUCCACAAGGCUGCAUAGAACUGUCUAUUCCCUGCAGUACCACCUGCUAUGGUCUGAAUAUUUGUGUCCUUCAAAAUUCGUAUGUUGACACUUAACCCCCAAAGAUGAGGGAGUUAUGGAGCAGGCCUUCGGGAAUCCUGAAGAGAGGGUAGAUCUCUCCUGAAUGGAAUGAGUGCCCUUUCAUAAAAGUAGUUCCAGACAGAUCUGCAGCCCCUGGACGCAGAGAGAAGUUGCCAACUAUGAACCAGGAAGAAGGUUGCUCACCAGUAAACUGUCGCACCGUGAUCUCGGACUUAGCACUUCCCGAGCUGAGAAAUAAGCUUCUGUUGUCUAUAUCUAUCCCAUCUGCGGUAUUUUGUUAUAGGAGCUUCAGUGGCCACUGCUUCAGCUAACCAUGCAGAGUAACACCGGGAGCUGUGGAAGCCUGCAGGGUCCAAGAGGGACCUCUCUGCAGGUUCCACACAAAGAGCAUGACUGCUCAAGUUCCAAUAAAAAGUGACCCAAGCCACAGCCCUGUGCCCCUUUCCUCGAGUGAGUGAGUGGUGGUCUCUCAGGCGUGUCCAGCUCUUUGCGUCCCCAUGGACUGUGGCCCGCCAGACCCCUCUGUCCAUAGAAUUCUCCGAGCAAGAAUACUGGAGUGGGUUGCCAUUUCAGAGGCCAGUAGAAGAGGCUCUGGGGAGUCAAAUGGCUGAGAAGAUGUGAACCUCAGUGAGAUCAAAUUCUCAAACUGAAGCUGUUCAUUUCCAAGUUAG
This 3511-nucleotide long non-coding RNA is filed under the name Ovis aries (sheep). RNAcentral's name for it is "lncRNA (ENSOARG00000026202.1)". Lineage: Eukaryota; Metazoa; Chordata; Mammalia; Artiodactyla; Bovidae. The record is from RNAcentral.